GCCCUACACCCGUUAAGGCAUGAUGGCCUGUACCCGAAACCGACACAGGUGGGGUGGUAGAGAAUACCGAGGGGCGCGAGGUAACUCUCUCUAAGGAACUCGGCAAAAUGGCCCCGUAACUUCGGGAGAAGGGGUGCCACCGCAAGGUGGUCGCAGUGAAGAGGCCCAGGCGACUGUUUACCAAAAACACAGGUCUCCGCUAAGUCGCAAGACGAUGUAUGGGGGCUGACGCCUGCCCAGUGCCGGAAGGUUAAGGAAGCUGGUCAGCGCAAGCGAAGCUGGCGACUGAAGCCCCGGUGAACGGCGGCCGUAACUAUAACGGUCCUAAGGUAGCGAAAUUCCUUGUCGGGUAAGUUCCGACCCGCACGAAAGGCGUAACGAUCUGGGCGCUGUCUCGGAGAGAGGCUCGGCGAAAUAGAAUUGUCUGUGAAGAUGCGGACUACGUGCACCCGGACAGAAAGACCCUAUGAAGCUUUACUGUAGCUUGGUAUUGUGCCCGGGCUCUGAAUGCGCAGGAUAGGUGGGAGGCUUUGAUCCAUUGCUUGUGGGUGAUGGUGAGCCAACGGUGAGAUACCACUCUUUCAGAGCUAGGGUUCUAACGGUCACCCGUUAUCCGGGGACCGGACAGUAUCAGGUGGGCAGUUUGACUGGGGCGGUCGCCUCCUAAAAGGUAACGGAGGCGCGCAAAGGUUCCCUCAGGCUGGUUGGAAAUCAGCCGAUGAGUGUAAAGGCAGAAGGGAGCUUGACUGUGAGACCUACAAGUCGAACAGGGACGAAAGUCGGCCUUAGUGAUCCGACGGUUCUGAGUGGAAGGGCCGUCGCUCAACGGAUAAAAGUUACUCUAAGGAUAACAGGCUGAUCUCCCCCAAGAGUUCACAUCGACGGGGAGGUUUGGCACCUCGAUGUCGGCUCAUCGCAACCUGGGGCUGAAGUCGGUCCCAAGGGUUGGGCUGUUCGCCCAUUAAAGCGGUACGCGAGCUAGGUUCAGAACGUCGUGAGACAGUUCGGUCCAUAUCCGGUGCAUGCGCAGGAAUAUUGAGAGGAUUUCUCCCUAGUACGAGAGGACCGGGAGGAACGCACCUCUGGUGUACCAGUUAUCGUGCCAACGGUAAACGCUGGGUAGCCAUGUGCGGAGUGGAUAACCGCUGAAAGCAUCUAAGUGGGAAGCCCACCUCAAGAUGAGUAUUCCCAUGGCGUUAGCCAGUAAGGUCACGGGCAGAACACCCGUUGAUAGGCUCUACGUGGAAGCCGGGUAACCGGUGAAGCGGAGGAGUACUAAUAGACCGAGGGCUUGACC
RNAcentral lists this ribosomal RNA (1297 nucleotides) under metagenome. RNAcentral's name for it is "bacterial LSU rRNA". It matches the Rfam family "Bacterial large subunit ribosomal RNA", at positions 1615 to 2925 of the family's 2925-position model. The record is from RNAcentral.